This 751-nucleotide ribosomal RNA is filed under the name Micromonospora maritima. RNAcentral describes it as "bacterial SSU rRNA". It matches the Rfam family "Bacterial small subunit ribosomal RNA", at positions 142 to 906 of the family's 1533-position model. Lineage: Bacteria; Bacillati; Actinomycetota; Actinomycetes; Micromonosporales; Micromonosporaceae. The record is from RNAcentral.
GAUAACCCCGGGAAACCGGGGCUAAUACCGAAUAUGACCUCCGAUCGCAUGGUCGGUGGUGGAAAGUUUUUCGGCUUGGGAUGGGCUCGCGGCCUAUCAGCUUGUUGGUGGGGUGAUGGCCUACCAAGGCGACGACGGGUAGCCGGCCUGAGAGGGCGACCGGCCACACUGGGACUGAGACACGGCCCAGACUCCUACGGGAGGCAGCAGUGGGGAAUAUUGCACAAUGGGCGGAAGCCUGAUGCAGCGACGCCGCGUGAGGGAUGACGGCCUUCGGGUUGUAAACCUCUUUCAGCAGGGACGAAGCGUAAGUGACGGUACCUGCAGAAGAAGCGCCGGCCAACUACGUGCCAGCAGCCGCGGUAAGACGUAGGGCGCGAGCGUUGUCCGGAUUUAUUGGGCGUAAAGAGCUCGUAGGCGGCUUGUCGCGUCGACCGUGAAAACCUGGGGCUCAACCCCAGGCCUGCGGUCGAUACGGGCAGGCUAGAGUUCGGUAGGGGAGACUGGAAUUCCUGGUGUAGCGGUGAAAUGCGCAGAUAUCAGGAGGAACACCGGUGGCGAAGGCGGGUCUCUGGGCCGAUACUGACGCUGAGGAGCGAAAGCGUGGGGAGCGAACAGGAUUAGAUACCCUGGUAGUCCACGCUGUAAACGUUGGGCGCUAGGUGUGGGGGGCCUCUCCGGUUCCCUGUGCCGCAGCUAACGCAUUAAGCGCCCCGCCUGGGGAGUACGGCCGCAAGGCUAAAACUCAAAG